UAUGUUAAUAUAACAGUUAGUAGGAGUGUAACAUAAUAUAUAUUAGUAGUAGUAAAGAAUAUUCGGUAAUGAUGGUAUAAUUUCUUAUAGAUUGUAAUAUAUGUACAGAUUAAGAAUAAAAGAGUAAAAGUAUUUAUGAUACCUUUUCUGUUUUGAUCAGGACAUCAUAUAAAUAUAUUAUUAUCCACUAUUAUAUAUUAUCAAAUAUAAGUAGUAGGAUAUCUCUUAUUACCUAAUUUAAAAUCGUUUAUAACAUUGAACAUAGCAUUAAAAAAAAAAAAUCCUUUUUUUUUUUUUUCUUUUGCAACAUAUAUACUAAUAUGGUAUGGUAUAUAUGAAAGUCAUGUGGUUGGUUAACUAAAGGGAUGUAGAAUAUAUAUAGGAGUAUAAUAAUAGUGAGAUUAUUUAUGCAUAUAUAUUAUGUGUGUGGAUGGUACUAUGGCGGAAUUGAUUGGUACUAAAUAAUCUUGAAAAAGACUACAUAUAUAUAAUAUCAUUGCAAAAUGCCAGUGAUAUUAUAUAUAGAAGGAACCUCAUAUAUGUAUUCAUUAAAGAUGCAUAUAUGAGUUGGGGAAAUACAAGCGAAUGCGGUACAAACAGAGGGGUACAGGAACAUGGCUACAGGUACUUUUUUACAGGUACAUGGCUACAAGACUUGUUUACGGGAUUUUCCUACAGGAUUUAUCUAAUGGAUUUUCCUACAGGAUUUACCUAAUGGAUUUUCCUACAGGAUUUACCUAAUGGAUUUUCCUACAGGAUUUACCUAAUGGAUGUUCCUACAGGAUUUACCUAAUGGACUUGUUUACAGGAUUUGCCUAAUGGAUUUUCCUACAGGAUUUACCUAAUGGACUUGCCUAAUGGAUUUACCUGAUGGACUUGCCUAAAGGAUUUACCUAAUGGACUUGCCUAAAGGAUUUACCUAAUGGACUUACCUACAGGAUUUACCUAAUGGAUUUUCCUAUAGGACUUGUUUACAGGAUUUGCCUAAUGGACAUGCCCAAUGGAUUUUCCUACAGGACUUGUUUACAGGAUUUGCCUAAUGGAUUUUCCUACAGGAUUUACCUAAUGGACUUGCCUAAUGGAUUUACCUGAUGGACUUGCCUAAAGGAUUUACCUAAUGGACUUGCCUAAAGGAUUUCCCUAAAGGACUUGUUUACAGGAUUUACCUAAUGGAUUUUCCUAUAGGACCUUUUUACAGGAUUUGCCUAAUGGAUUUCCCUAAAGGACUUGUUUACAGGAUUUACCUAAUGGAUUUUCCUAUAGGACCUUUUUACAGGAUUUGCCUAAUGGACAUGCCCAAUGGAUUUUCCUACAGGACUUGUUUACAGGAUUUGCUUAAUGGAUUUUCCUAUAGGACCUUUUUACAGGAUUUGCCUAAUGGAUUUCCCUAGAGGACUUGUUUAAAGGAUUUACCUAAUGGAUUUUCCUAUAGGACCUUUUUACAGGAUUUGCCUAAUGGACAUGCCCAAUGGAUUUUCCUACAGGACUUGUUUACAGGAUUUGCCUAAUGGAUUUCCCUAAAGGACUUGUUUACAGGAUUUUCCUAAUGGACUUGCCUAAAGGAUAUGCCUAUAUAUAUAUGGCUAAGGAGAACGGUUUCUACCGAAGGGCUACAGAAAAAGAUUAUAAUAAAUAAAAAAGUGCAAAUCUUUUUCAGAAACGGCACAGGCGCAGCCAAUAUGCACUAGGAAACAAAGGAAAAGGUACAAAUAAAAAUGUGCAAAACUGAUACAGAAACGGCACAGGAGCAGCCAAAUAAUGCACAUAGGAAAGCACAAAAAAAGAUUCAGAAAUUCUAAAGUACGUUUUUAAUAUCAGUUGGUACUUUAGAAAACUGUCUUUCUAUGGGUAAGGAAUAAAUUGUAUUUUAAUUAUAUGCAAUUUAUUUGUGUUUUCUUCUUAUAUGGUAACAUAUAAUGUUUGAAUUAAAUGUGUUUGUUUGUUUAUUUUUACAUUUGCAUACAAAAGGCAUGAAAUGCGCCUUUUUUUUAUUAUUUUGUGUUUCGUUUUAAUUGCUUGAAUUCGUUACAUAAAAAUCAUAUAUAUAAUAUGGCAUAUUUUACUAUUAAGUAGAAUAUGCCAUAAUAUAACUAAGUUUUUUUUUUUUUUUUUUUUAGCUCUCAUUUCUUUUAUAUUUAGGUGUGUUGAGUAUUUUUUAUCGUUUUAAAGGUUAACUUUUUUUUAUCUUAAUUAAAGUUAAUUCUUAUGACGUUUUACUUUUACAGGUCGUGCAUGAGAUACUUUUUGUUGUAAGAAGAAAGGAUCGUUCUUUUAUAACCCACGUGUAGGAAGAUAAUGUAGGUAAAAGCAUUUUAUAAUUGUUAUUAUAAUAAUGAAACAAAAAUAAAAAAAAAAAAAAGUAAAAAGAAAAAAAAAAAAAAAAAAAAAAAAAAAAAAAAAAAAAAGUAAAAAGAAAAAAAAAAAAAAAGUAAAAAGAAAAAAAAAAAAAAAACCUACAUGUAUAUAUACAUAAUUUUUAUUUUAUGUAUAUACAUUUUUAUAUGGAUAGCAUAUACUAUAUGUUUUAUUUAUACUUGUGUUAUAGUGUUGCAUAUAGAAAAAAAAUUCAUUGGCCUAAUGUAAAGAGGUGAAUGAAGUGUUAUUUUUAUUAUUAAUUUAUUUUAAUUGAAGUUAAUAAUUAAAAUAUAUGUGUGUUAGUAUAAUAUGUAGUAUAUAUAAUAGUGAUUGCCUUAUGUUAUUAUGUUGUGUAUAUAUGUUGUUGCACGUAAAUAGAUAUAUAUAUGUCUGUCUAAAUAUAUAAUUAAUUACAUGAAUGAAUAUUUUUUUUAAUAUGUCUUCAUUUCACAAUUAAAUGUGUGUUACAUCAAUAAAAUGUAUUUUUAUAAGUCUUCAUUUCAUAAUUAAAUGUGCGUUACAUCAAUAAAUGUAUUUUUAUAAGUCUUCAUUUCAUAAUUAAAUGUGUGUUACAUCAAUAAAAUUUUUUUUUAAUAAACCUUAAAUUUAUAAUUAAAUGUGUUACAUGAAUGAAUACGUGUAGUUAUAGAAACACAAAUGACGCUAAGAUAUAUUCAUAGUGAUAUCUUGAAGACCAAAUAAAGACAAGACAAAUAAAUAAUAGUAUACAUUACAGUAUAUAUAUUUGAAGACUUGACGAAUAUGGAAAUCUUGAAGAAGAAUGGAUUUAAUGAGUUAAUAGAAAUCCCCAAAGAC
Molecule: non-coding RNA, 3171 nt
Organism: Plasmodium adleri (nom. inval.)
Lineage: Eukaryota; Apicomplexa; Aconoidasida; Haemosporida; Plasmodiidae
Source: RefSeq, a predicted model, not a curated record